UGGGGGCACCCUGAUCAGCCAUGCCGCGUGUGUGAAGAAGGCCCUCGGGUUGUAAAGCACUUUCAGCGAGGAAGAACGCCUAGCGGUUAAUACCCGCUAGGAAAGACAUCACUCGCAGAAGAAGCACCGGCUAACUCCGUGCCAGCAGCCGCGGUAAUACGGAGGGUGCAAGCGUUAAUCGGAAUUACUGGGCGUAAAGCGCGCGUAGGUGGCUUGAUAAGCCGGUUGUGAAAGCCCCGGGCUCAACCUGGGAACGGCAUCCGGAACUGUCAAGCUAGAGUGCAGGAGAGGAAGGUAGAAUUCCCGGUGUAGCGGUGAAAUGCGUAGAGAUCGGGAGGAAUACCAGUGGCGAAGGCGGCCUUCUGGACUGACACUGACACUGAGGUGCGAAAGCGUGGGUAGCAAACAGGAUUAGAUACCCUGGUAGUCCACGCCGUAAACGAUGUCGACCAGCCGUUGGGUGCCUAGCGCACUUUGUGGCGAAGUUAACGCGAUAAGUCGACCGCCUGGGGAGUACGGCCGCAAGGUUAAAACUCAAAUGAAUUGACGGGGGCCCGCACAAGCGGUGGAGCAUGUGGUUUAAUUCGAUGCAACGCGAAGAACCUUACCUACUCUUGACAUCCUGCGAAUUUGGUAGAGAUACCUUAGUGCCUUCGGGAACGCAGAGACAGGUGCUGCAUGGCUGUCGUCAGCUCGUGUUGUGAAAUGUUGGGGUUAAGUCCCGUAACGAGCGCAACCCUUGUCCUUAUUUGCCAGCGCGUAAUGGCGGGAACUCUAAGGAGACUGCCGGUGACAAACCGGAGGAAGGGUGGGGGACGACGUCAAGUCAUCAUGGCCCUUA
RNAcentral lists this ribosomal RNA (841 nucleotides) under uncultured Halomonas sp. RNAcentral's name for it is "bacterial SSU rRNA". It matches the Rfam family "Bacterial small subunit ribosomal RNA", at positions 372 to 1204 of the family's 1533-position model. Lineage: Bacteria; Pseudomonadati; Pseudomonadota; Gammaproteobacteria; Oceanospirillales; Halomonadaceae. The record is from RNAcentral.